GAUGAUCGCUGGCGGCGUGCCUAAUACAUGCAAGUCGAGCGAACGGACGGGAAGCUUGCUUCUCUGAUGUUAGCGGCGGACGGGUGAGUAACACGUGGAUAACCUACCUAUAAGACUGGGAUAACUUCGUUAAACCGGAGCUAAUACCGGAUAAUAUUUUGAACCGCAUGGUUCAAAAGUGAAAGACGGUCUUGCUGUCACUUAUAGAUUGAUCCGCGCUGCAUUAGCUAGUUGGUAAGGUAACGGCUUACCAAGGCAACGAUGCAUAGCCGACCUGAGAGGGGGAUCGGCCACACUGGAACUGAGACGCGGUCCAGACUCCUACGGGAGGCAGCAGUAGGGAAUCUUCCGCAAUGGGCGAAAGCCUGACGGAGCAACGCCGCGUGAGUGAUGAAGGUCUUCGGAUCGUAAAACUCUGUUAUUAGGGAAGAACAUAUGUGUAAGUAACUGUGCACAUCUUGACGGUACCUAAUCAGAAAGCCACGGCUAACUACGUG
Molecule: ribosomal RNA, 497 nt
Filed under: uncultured bacterium
Lineage: Bacteria
Description: partial 16S ribosomal RNA
Rfam family: Bacterial small subunit ribosomal RNA
Source: RNAcentral